This 464-nucleotide ribosomal RNA is filed under the name uncultured bacterium. RNAcentral's name for it is "partial 16S ribosomal RNA". It matches the Rfam family "Bacterial small subunit ribosomal RNA", at positions 339 to 795 of the family's 1533-position model. The record is from RNAcentral.
CUACGGGUCGCUGCAGUGGGGAAUAUUGCAUAAUGGGCGCAAGCCUGAUGCAGCCAUGCCGCGUGUAUGAAGAAGGCCUUCGGGUUGUAAAGUACUUUCAGCGGGGAGGAAGGGAGUAAAGUUAAUACCUUUGCUCAUUGACGUUACCCGCAGAAGAAGCACCGGCUAACUCCGUGCCAGCAGCCGCGGUAAUACGGAGGGUGCAAGCGUUAAUCGGAAUUACUGGGCGUAAAGCGCACGCAGGCGGUUUGUUAAGUCAGAUGUGAAAUCCCCGGGCUCAACCUGGGAACUGCAUCUGAUACUGGCAAGCUUGAGUCUCGUAGAGGGGGGUAGAAUUCCAGGUGUAGCGGUGAAAUGCGUAGAGAUCUGGAGGAAUACCGGUGGCGAAGGCGGCCCCCUGGACGAAGACUGACGCUCAGGUGCGAAAGCGUGGGGAGCAAACAGGAUUAGAUACCCCAGUAGUC